AUUUUCAUGUUUUGAUUCAGCAUUUCACUAAGCUGCUUAGGGCGUUACUAAGUUGCAGAGGUUGGUCUUGAACUUGUGAUCCUCCCGACCAGCUUCCUGACUUACUGGAUUCCUGGUGUACACCUCCAUGCCUGGCCCACACAUUGUUUUGAAGGCACAAUUCACAGUGAAGAGGGAUUGUGGAAAUGUCCCAUAAGAUGGUACAUGUGCUUGGACCUCCAAAUUUUGUAGACUUUUAUUAAAGUUCUCAGCUGUUUCAUACCAAUAUCUAUCUUGCUGCAAAAUGUACAGCAUGUGAGUAAGAUGUCAGGAAGAGAGAUUUAAAAGAAAGUGCAAGGAUAUGUGCAUAAACCUUCUCCUGUAGAGUGAUGUGGACUUCUGACUGGAGACCUAAGCACUGCUUGUUGGUCCCAAGCAGGAAGCAAGCAGGGAGGCCCUGAGACAGAAGCACAGCCCUGUGCUCCACAGAGGUCAUCAGGUCAUAGAAGCAAGACCUAGGCAGCCUGACAACAUUAGCCCAGAGACACAUGUGGUCAUUAUUCUAGGGAGGCCCCAAGGAAGAGGGUCAGAACCAUGGUGGUGGGGUCCCAUCUGGAGAGGUCCUUCAGAACCAGUGAACAGGGAGAUGUACAGUCACAACACCUGGUAGGAAUUCAAGGGUUCCCAGGAGUGAGAUGCUCCACCCUAGUAGAUGGAUACAAAGAGUGAUAGGAGAAGCUUGGUGGUUGUCAGUCAAGCUACUCUGGGAAGCUGAUGUCAAGAUGUAUUAGACAAGGGAGGAUGUUCCUGGGAGAUGCCUACGUGAGAAAAUGGAGCAAUCGGACAGACUAGUUAGGCCAUGAUGGCCAUCAAGGCGCAUUUGGCCACAGUUAAGGCAAGGCAGAGGGAAGGUUUGCUGUGAGUGUUCUUGGAGGCUGAUUAUUAGGCUCUCAGCUGGCAACGCCAAGUGGACUGCUCAGUCCUUGGCAGGGAGCAGCCCUGGCGGCCUCAGCAGACUGGAGAACUCUAUUGCCUUCAUCUCCUACACCCUCAGGUAAGGGACACACUCAUGACCACACAGCCCAGUCCACCCCCUGUGCUCUGCAGGGAACCCAUCUCGGGAACACUGGCCCCAUGUUCUCACUUCCUGAAGUGGGAUGAACUAGAAUCCAUUGCUGAAACUGGUCUGGGGUGACCUCAUCUUCUCCUGUCCUUUGUUAUUCAUUCUAAAAUACCUCACCUAGGGCUGGGGAUGUGGCUCAAAUGGUAGCGCGCUCGCCUAGCAUGCGUGAGGCACUGUGUUCGAUUCUCAGCACCACAUAAAAACAAAAUCAAGAUAUUGUGUCCACCUAAAACUAAAAAAUAAAUAUUUAAAAAAAAAUAAAUAAAAUACCUCACCUAGCAAUUCAGUCCCUGAGCUUCAUCACACAACUGUUUCCUCCUGGGCAAAAUAGGGUACUCUCCACCCCACAGGUUGUGGGUGCAGGUCCCUGUGAAUCCUUGGUGACAUUAGUGGUCCUGGGUAAAACACAGGUCUCAGCACUCCGGACUCCUCUUGGGCCAAUUCAAUGGCUGAGAACUGACAGCUCCCUCUGUGAUGGCUGAGCCGUCCCUCGUGCGGCUGUCUUUUUCUUCCUCUUCUCUUCCCCCAGCCCCAAACCUGUCCUGAAUGCUCUACCACUGAGUUACAUCCCCAGCUGUGGGGAGCCACACUGAAUGACCAUACCUUCCAGUCCUGAUGCCUCAGGCUCUGGCCAACCACUGCAUAUGCUGUGGCCUGGUCCGAGACCUGCUCGGAUAGCAAGGAGGUCUUUUUUGUAGGGCGUGACCCUAAGGUUGAGUUACACUCACCUGUUUCUUGUAGUCCUGCCCUUUCUUAGAUAGAACUUUCUAAGAACAAGAGUCCCUCCACCCCCCAUAAAAGCUCACUUCUGAACAUGUUCACUCUCUCUCGUCAGCCUCUCAUGACUUUCUCUUGCUCUCCCUUUUGGAAAGCCUGAGGCCGAGAGCUAGGGAAGCCAUCCUGAAGCUUGUGUCAAGGUAAAUUCUGUCUGUGUUUUAUUUGGUGUCCCUGCAAAUUCACAUGAGCAAUCUUAAGUUCAGCUGCCUGCACUGGUUGGGGGCAUCACCCAGCCCUUUUUAUUUAUUUAUUUAUUAUUUGGGUACUGUGGAUUGAACCCAGGGACACUUAAUCACUGAACGACAUCCCCAGCCCUUUUUAUUUUUUUAUUUCGAGACAAGGCCUCAUAAGUUGCCCAGGAUGGCCCUGAACUUUCGAUCCUCCUGCUUCAGCCUUGCGAAUUGCUAGGACCACAGGCACCACACUGGGCUCCCUUGGGCCUCUGAGGUAACGUGGAGUUGAACCUAACCCCUGGUCUGCGUGGCAACUGCUCAGGAACUCAGCUUUCCACAUCCUCGUUCCUCCGUCCUCCCCUUGAUAAACACGUGCUAAUUGUUGGGGGACCAGCAAUCCCAGGCUUGCCUGAAGCCUGAGAGUCCCAGGGGAGGUGUGUCAGGAGCUAGGACUGAGUGCAGGAAUGUCCCCAUGGACCAGGAGAGUGGAGGGAUGGAAUCAUGUCUCACACAUGUGCAAGUGAGGAAGGAUGUCAACUAUCCCUCAGGAACAACCCCUUUUGAUAACUGGUAUUCUGUUCAGACAAGAGUCCCAUCUAGCCAGCUAUGCAGACAUGUGGCCUUCCACUGCGCUUCCUGACAGGAUGCAGCAGGGCACCAGAAAAGACCCACUUAAGCCACAAGGCCACCUGAACUUGCCAGUCGCUCCUCCACUGGAUCAGCCUCCGCCUCCAGUACCAAAACUGUGCCUUUCUCCCCUUAUUCUUAAAAGGACAUCUCCAGGGGCUGGGGAUGUGGCUCAAGCAGUAGCGUGCUCACCUGGCAUGCGUGCGGCCCGUGUUCGAUCCUCAGCACCACAUACAAAUAAAGAUAUUGUGUCUGUCGAAAACUAAAAAUAAAUAAAUAAAUAUUUAAAAAAAAAAAAAAAAAAGGACAUCUCCAUUUGUUUCGAUGGGAAGCUGGCCUGAGAGUUGUUCUUCCUGGCAUCUCCUAUUCUCUGGCCAAAGAACCACAUUUCUUUCACUGCAAAGUUUGCUCAGUUUUGCUACUGGUUCCACAAUUCUGAGAGGGAGAAAGAAGCACUGUAGGUCAGAAAUUGGUAACAUGACCACCCUCAGUUUUACUUGUCCUGUCCUUCAUGUAAUUGGGUUCAUGAGGCUAAAAACCAGGCCUACUGCACAUCACAUUCUGGAGACCAGCAGUGUGUCCUGUCUAUUAUGGGGCAUGCCACAGUGUGGAUCCCUUCCAGUCGAUGCAGUCAUACUGCAGGGUUUUUUGCUGUUAUAAACAAGGCUGCUAUGAAUGUUCUUCCUUAUGGGUUGAAUUGUGUCCUUCAAAAGCAUGUUGAAGGGCUGGGAUUGUGGCUCAGCGGUAGAGUACUCACCUAGCAUGGGCGGGACCCGGGUUCGAUCCUCAGCACCACAUAAAAAUAAAAUACAUUGUGUUGUGUCCAUCUACACCAAAAAAUAAAUAUUUAAAAAAAAAGAAAAAAAGCAUGUUGAAGUUCUAACUCCCCUGAAACCUGUCGAUAAAUAUGGUCCUAUUUGGAAAUAUAGCCUUGGUAGAUAUUGCCAAGUUAAGAUGAGGUAAUGCCAGAGCCAGGCAGGCCCUGUCUGGAGACCGAUGUUGUGGAGGCAGGCUGUGCCAGCUGACUCACUCUAUGACAUGCAGAGCAGCAGUUUCAGAUGAAGCCUAACCCUUACUACAUUUUGUAAAGCAGUAGUUUGCCAUGAGCUGCUCCAUUUUGAGGAGCAGUGACAGGUGGAACAACUCUAUACCUUGUUUGUACUAGUGCACAACCACCAUCUGCCCAGCACAGCCCUAAGGCACAGAUUGAUAAAUAAUUUAUUGGCAUCAACUUAUCAUGGGGCACCUGGACACAUGACAUCCCAAGCUAUAUCAGAAAACUGAAGUGGAAGCUUAUCAAUCUCACCAGACGCAAUCCCCUCCCUUGAGAUCUGUAAAUGGAGGAGCCCCCCACCCCUAGACUAACCCCAUCACCUGGUCACUUGUCACAAAUCUGGCCCAGGAAAAUCCCUACAGCGAGCUUCAGUUCUGGUUCCUUUGGGCUUCAACACAGCACAUUUUCUCCUGCCUGUGACAACCAGGCCCAGACCAUCCCAACUGACACUGAGACUGAAACUGCAGUCAGACCCUCAACCUUGGCAACUCUGGGGAACUGGUUGGAUAAAAACCUUAGUCCAGGGCUGUGGCUGUGGCUCAGUGGUAGAGGGCUUGCUUGGCAGGUAAGAGGUACUGGGUUCAAUUCUCAGCACCAUUAAAAAUAAAUAAAGAUCCGUUGACAACUUAAAAAGUACUUAAAAGCAUCCUGUAAUUGUGUGGUGCCUGGAC
RNAcentral lists this long non-coding RNA (4404 nucleotides) under Marmota monax (woodchuck). The stretch from base 4262 to 4332 matches the Rfam family "tRNA". The record is from RNAcentral. Lineage: Eukaryota; Metazoa; Chordata; Mammalia; Rodentia; Sciuridae.